Molecule: non-coding RNA, 73 nt
Organism: Aphanomyces astaci
Lineage: Eukaryota; Oomycota; Saprolegniomycetes; Saprolegniales; Verrucalvaceae
Source: Rfam
GGAGGAAUAGCUCAGGUGGUAGAGCAUCAGUUUCUUAACUCAAAGGUCGUGGGUUCGAUCCCCGGUUUCUCCG